RNAcentral lists this transfer RNA (59 nucleotides) under Diaphorina citri (Asian citrus psyllid). It matches the Rfam family "tRNA", at positions 8 to 63 of the family's 71-position model. Rfam says of the family: Transfer RNA (tRNA) molecules are approximately 80 nucleotides in length. Their secondary structure includes four short double-helical elements and three loops (D, anti-codon, and T loops). The record is from Rfam by way of RNAcentral. Lineage: Eukaryota; Metazoa; Arthropoda; Insecta; Hemiptera; Psyllidae.
UAGCUCAGUUCGGUAGUGCGUCUGCCUUGUAAGCGCUAGGCCGCGGGUUCGAUUCCCGC